Molecule: ribosomal RNA, 478 nt
Filed under: uncultured bacterium
Lineage: Bacteria
Description: partial 16S ribosomal RNA
Rfam family: Bacterial small subunit ribosomal RNA
Source: RNAcentral
GACGAACGCUGGCGGCGUGCUUAACACAUGCAAGUCGAACGGUAAGGCCCUUCGGGGUACACGAGUGGCGAACGGGUGAGUAACACGUGGGUGAUCUGCCCUGCACUUCGGGAUAAGCCUGGGAAACUGGGUCUAAUACCGGAUAGGACCACUGCCUGCAUGGGUGGUGGUGGAAAGCUUUUGCGGUGUGGGACGGGCCCGCGGCCUAUCGGCUUGUUGGUGGGGUGAUGGCCUACCAAGGCGACGACGGGUAGCCGGCCUGAGAGGGUGACCGGCCACACUGGGGCUGAGAUACGGCCCAGACUCCUACGGGAGGCAGCAGUGGGGAAUAUUGCACAAUGGGCGCAAGCCUGAUGCAGCGACGCCGCGUGAGGGAUGACGGCCUUCGGGUUGUAAACCUCUUUCAGCACCGACGAAGCGCAAGUGACGGUAGGUGCAGAAGAAGGACCGGCCAACUACGUGCCAGCCGCCGCGGUAA